CCACUUUCUUCCUUCUCCUCUUGUGUUGGACUGUGUGUCCCUACAAAGUCAAAGAGGUAGAAGAAGAAGAUGUCAACGAAGAAGAUGAGAACUUCCUAGUCCAGAAUAUCCUCAGUCUCCCCGUCUGGAGGCUCGAGCCACGCAGC
RNAcentral lists this long non-coding RNA (146 nucleotides) under Anolis carolinensis (green anole). RNAcentral describes it as "lncRNA (ENSACAG00000034934.1)". Lineage: Eukaryota; Metazoa; Chordata; Lepidosauria; Squamata; Anolidae. The record is from RNAcentral.